GAUCCUGGCUCAGGAUGAACGCUAGCUACAGGCUUAACACAUGCAAGUCGAGGGGCAGCAUGGUCUUAGCUUGCUAAGACUGAUGGCGACCGGCGCACGGGUGAGUAACACGUAUCCAACCUGCCGUCUACUCUUGGACAGCCUUCUGAAAUGAAGAUUAAUACAAGAUGGCAUCAUGACGUCCGCAUGUUCACAUGAAUUAAAGGUUAUUCCGGUAGACGAG
RNAcentral lists this ribosomal RNA (223 nucleotides) under uncultured bacterium. Its description in RNAcentral is "partial 16S ribosomal RNA". It matches the Rfam family "Bacterial small subunit ribosomal RNA", at positions 15 to 226 of the family's 1533-position model. The record is from RNAcentral.